AUACGGAGGAUGCAAGCGUUAUCCGGAUUCACUAGGUUUAAAGGGUGUGUAGGCGGAAUUGUAAGUCAGUGGUGAAAGCUUGCGGCUUAACCGUAAAAUUGCCAUUGAUACUGCAGUUCUUGAGUUCGGCUGAGGUAGGCGGAAUGAGUAAUGUAGCGGUGAAAUGCUUAGAUAUUACUCAGAACACCGAUUGCGUAGGCAGCUUACCAAACCGACACUGACGCUGAGGCACGAAAGCGUGGGGAGCGAACAGGAUUAGAUACCCUGGUAGUCCACGCCGUAAACUUUGAUUACUCGUUGUUGGCAAUACACCGUCAGCGACUGAGCGAAAGCAUUAAGUAAUCCACCUGGGGAGUACGUCAGCAAUGAUGAA
RNAcentral lists this ribosomal RNA (373 nucleotides) under uncultured bacterium. Its description in RNAcentral is "bacterial SSU rRNA". It matches the Rfam family "Bacterial small subunit ribosomal RNA", at positions 523 to 898 of the family's 1533-position model. The record is from RNAcentral.